ACGUAGGGUGCAAGCGUUAAUCGGAAUUACUGGGCGUAAAGCGUGCGCAGGCGGUUCGGAAAGAGAGGUGUGAAAUCCCAGGGCUUAACCUUGGAACUGCACUUUUAACUCCCGAGCUAGAGUAUGUCAGAGGGGGGUGGAAUUCCGCGUGUAGCAGUGAAAUGCGUAGAUAUGCGGAGGAACACCGAUGGCGAAGGCAGCCCCCUGGGAUAAUACUGACGCUCAUGCACGAAAGCGUGGGGAGCAAACAGGAUUAGAUACCCUGGUAGUCCACGCCCUAAACGAUGUCAACUAGCUGUUGGGGCCUUCGGGCCUUAGUAGCGCAGCUAACGCGUGAAGUUGACCGCCUGGGGAGUACGGUCGCAAGAUUA
RNAcentral lists this ribosomal RNA (371 nucleotides) under uncultured bacterium. RNAcentral describes it as "bacterial SSU rRNA". It matches the Rfam family "Bacterial small subunit ribosomal RNA", at positions 525 to 896 of the family's 1533-position model. The record is from RNAcentral.